UGCCAGCCGCCGCGGUAAUACGGAGGGUACAAACGUUGUUCGGAAUUACUGGGCAUAAAGCGCACGUAGGCGACCUGAUAAGUCUGUUGUGAAAGCCCUCGGCUCAACCGGGGAACUGCAAUUGAUACUGUCAGGCUCGAGGGUGGUUGGGGUGAGUGGAACUUCUGGUGGAGCGGUGAAAUGCGUAGAUAUCAGAAGGAACACCAGUGGCGAAAGUGGCUCACUGGACCACAUCUGACGCUGAGGUGCGAAAGCUAGGGUAGCGAACGGGAUUAGAUA
This 279-nucleotide ribosomal RNA is filed under the name uncultured bacterium. RNAcentral's name for it is "partial 16S ribosomal RNA". It matches the Rfam family "Bacterial small subunit ribosomal RNA", at positions 506 to 784 of the family's 1533-position model. The record is from RNAcentral.